RNAcentral lists this ribosomal RNA (460 nucleotides) under uncultured bacterium. Its description in RNAcentral is "partial 16S ribosomal RNA". It matches the Rfam family "Bacterial small subunit ribosomal RNA", at positions 338 to 795 of the family's 1533-position model. The record is from RNAcentral.
CCUACGGGUGGCUGCAGUGAGGAAUAUUGGUCAAUGGGCGCGAGCCUGAACCAGCCAAGUAGCGUGAAGGAUGACUGCCCUACGGGUUGUAAACUUCUUUUAUAAGGGAAUAAAGUGCGCCACGUGUGGCUUUUUGUAUGUACUUUAUGAAUAAGGAUCGGCUAACUCCGUGCCAGCAGCCGCGGUAAUACGGAGGAUCCGAGCGUUAUCCGGAUUUAUUGGGUUUAAAGGGAGCGUAGGUGGGUUGUUAAGUCAGUUGUGAAAGUUUGCGGCUCAACCGUAAAAUUGCAAUUGAUACUGGCAGCCUUGAGUACAGUAGAGGUAGGCGGAAUUCGUGGUGUAGCGGUGAAAUGCUUAGAUAUCACGAAGAACUCCGAUUGCGAAGGCAGCUGACUGAACUGCAACUGACAUUGAGGCUCGAAAGUGUGGGUAUCAAACAGGAUUAGAUACCCCAGUAGUC